RNAcentral lists this ribosomal RNA (528 nucleotides) under uncultured bacterium. RNAcentral's name for it is "bacterial SSU rRNA". It matches the Rfam family "Bacterial small subunit ribosomal RNA", at positions 8 to 524 of the family's 1533-position model. The record is from RNAcentral.
AGAGUUUGAUCAUGGCUCAGGACGAACGCUGGCGGCGUGCCUAACACAUGCAAGUCGAACGGUCCGGUGAGGGAAGAGCUUGCUUGGAACUUACCGGAUAGUGGCGGACGGGUGAGUAACGCGUGAACAAUCUACCCUUAAGUUCGGGAUAACACCGGGAAACCGGUGCUAAUACCGGAUAUGCUCACGCUGGGGCAUCCCAGAGUGAGGAAAGGGUUUACCGCUUAAGGAUGAGUUCGCGUCCCAUUAGCUAGUUGGUAGGGUAACGGCCUACCAAGGCGACGAUGGGUAGCCGGCCUGAGAGGGUGGACGGCCACACUGGGACUGAGACACGGCCCAGACUCCUACGGGAGGCAGCAGUGGGGAAUAUUGCGCAAUGGGGGGAACCCUGACGCAGCGACGCCGCGUGAGCGAAGAAGGCCUUCGGGUCGUAAAGCUCUGUCAUAAGGGAAGAAGUCUCUCGUUAUGAGAGGUGACGGUACCUUAAGAGGAAGCCCCGGCUAACUACGUGCCAGCAGCCGCGGUAAU